CAAGGAUCGUUGUCUUGUCUGUCUCUUUGUGUGUGUGAUUGCCAUUGUGCCAGCCUAAACCUCUAGCUCUGCGAGAACCUGGGAAAACACUUCCAGUUAGGGAAGUGGNUGCAAUUUUGCAUGCAACAAUUGGCGAGCCAGGCAAGAGCACUUUGCGGCACCCAGCUUGAGUUUGUCAGACGCUCCUAGGGACGCACAGCCAGCUAUCAAGGGUACCCUGAAUCCUCAGCACUUUCUUA
RNAcentral lists this long non-coding RNA (239 nucleotides) under Salvator merianae (Argentine black and white tegu). Its description in RNAcentral is "lncRNA (ENSSMRG00000004738.1)". The record is from RNAcentral. Lineage: Eukaryota; Metazoa; Chordata; Lepidosauria; Squamata; Teiidae.